AGAAACCUUGCGAGCUGCAAUGGGGGGAAUUUUCUUGAGGUCUUAGUUUUAAGGGAUUGCAUGCAUCUCAAAGAGGUUUAUGGCUGAUCCAUCCAGGAAAUUUUAUCAUUUGACCAGUCAGAUUGGCAAAGCCCAUUUUAAACGUUUCUAAGAAGACAAACAUUGUUACACCUCCAACCACAAUUGUCUCUUCUCCAACAACUUGGUGCAGUGGUAGUCACAAUGGAGAAUAAAACUAUUGAGUGUUGACAUCAAUUAGGCAGCUAUGAAUGUGGGUAUUAUGUAAUGAAACACAUGCAUACCAUUAUUUGUACAAACAUUACUACGUCAUGG
Long non-coding RNA from Vigna radiata var. radiata (mung bean), 333 nucleotides. RefSeq lists it as uncharacterized. The record is from RefSeq and is a predicted model, not a curated record. Lineage: Eukaryota; Viridiplantae; Streptophyta; Magnoliopsida; Fabales; Fabaceae. The transcript has 4 exons.